Long non-coding RNA from Vidua macroura (Pin-tailed whydah), 966 nucleotides. RefSeq lists it as uncharacterized. The record is from RefSeq and is a predicted model, not a curated record. The transcript is spliced from 4 exons. NCBI's taxonomy places the organism in Eukaryota, Metazoa, Chordata, Aves, Passeriformes, Viduidae.
UUGAUGAUCUAGAGGUCUUUUCCAACCUAAAUGAUUCUGUGAUUCAUAGAAGUGGUAGAUACCUCAUCCUGGAAACCUCCAAGGCCAGGAAUGGGGAUGGGGCCCUGAGCAAACUUAUCUAGUUGCAGGUGUCCAUGCUAUUUGCAGAGGGGUUAGUCUAGAUAACCCUUAAAGGUCCUUUCCAACCCAAGUUAUUCUGUAAUUCUGUGAUUCUAUGACUUGAGCCUGAGUAUUUCAUCUUAAUGCACUUCUUAACUCAGCUUUGUAGAUGGCCUUUAGAGCUACAAAAGUUAACUUCACUCAAAGCUUGAUCCAGCUACUUGCUUCCACCAGAAAAUAGAUUUAAGUGUUAGCACUUGCUCAUAUUAGAGAGCUAGAUAGGGAUCUGCAAUACAACAGACUCUGCUAGAGGAAAGCUUUAUGCAAAAUUGUGAUGUUAAUCAUUCAAAGGGAGAUGCUAAAGGUGAGAACAGGGCAGAUUGCAGUGUUUGCGUGUUGGUGGCUGCUGCUGCCUUGUCCAUCACUAUCACAACAGGAGUUCUGCUGGAAAGCAACUCAUAAGAAAAAUUUAGGACUUUUCCAGCAGGGAGACUGCCACAGAGGAAAGGACAUCCUUCAGCCUGCAGUGACAGGGAUUCCCAGCUGCUCAGCAGAGAACUGGACAAUGAGAGCAACCUGGGCAAUGUGCUACCAUGGACCUGGGAAGCUGGAAAGAACAUGGACAGUAAGCUGCAGAUGAUGGUCUGGAAAAGCCUGUGCCCAUGUGAUGCAAACCAUUAGGGCCCUGCUUCCUUCAAAGAUAAAACUGACUGCUGGUUUCAAGGGCUAUUUAUUGCCAUGACAGUGACAUAUCACUCUGAGUACUGACUGUUAAAGGACUAUUAGCACCUACCUGAUCUGAAAAAGUACAAACAUUCAACCAAAAUUGCUGUAUUAAUAGACAAGUCUAAAAUAAAUAAACAGGAA